RNAcentral lists this small RNA (27 nucleotides) under Bombyx mori (domestic silkworm). RNAcentral's name for it is "piRNA piR-bmo-1792975". Lineage: Eukaryota; Metazoa; Arthropoda; Insecta; Lepidoptera; Bombycidae. The record is from RNAcentral.
UACGAGUGAUGUGCCUGAAGAACUUGC